UUCAGUUUUUCCUUGUCACCAGACGAGAUGGAACAAAUAUGGGCAUUAGAUAAAUAUCCCCGAAUAUGGAUAGAGAAGUGGGCAAGUGAACACAAAGAUUAUCCAUUCCAUGAAGAAUUCUAAAGAACCGUUUUCUUUAUAAAGAACACUUUUACAGUGUUCCAGCUAGGAUUUCAAAAGGGCAGGGUGCCAAUCCUGAAAAAGGGCAUUUAACGCGUGAUAUGAUAAUAUGAAAAGGGCAUGUUUUAAUAAAGAUUAUAAUCAAACA
Molecule: long non-coding RNA, 268 nt
Organism: Mytilus californianus (California mussel)
Lineage: Eukaryota; Metazoa; Mollusca; Bivalvia; Mytilida; Mytilidae
Exons: 2
Source: RefSeq, a predicted model, not a curated record